Molecule: ribosomal RNA, 431 nt
Filed under: uncultured Rozellomycota
Lineage: Eukaryota; Fungi; Rozellomycota
Description: bacterial SSU rRNA
Rfam family: Eukaryotic small subunit ribosomal RNA
Source: RNAcentral
GGCAAGUCUGGUGCCAGCAGCCGCGGUAAUUCCAGCUCCAAUAGCGUAUAUUAAAGUUGUUGCAGUUAAAAGCUCGUAGUUGGAUUUCUGGGAGGAUGCCAAUGUCCGCUCGAUUGCGUGUGCAGCGGCGUCCUUCCAUCCUUCUGUUAACGUUUCUUGGUAUUCAGUUACUGGUUUCGGGCUCAGAUAUUUUACCUUGAGAAAAUUAGAGUGUUCCAGGCAGGCUUAGCCUGAAUAGUGCAGCAUGGAAUAAUACAAGAGGACUUGGCUCCAGUUGUUGGUGUAUGGCGCUGAGUAAUGAUUAACAGGGAUAGUUGGGGCAUUCGUAUUUAAUUGUCAGAGGUGAAAUUCUUGGAUUUAUUAAAGACGAACCUGUGCGAAAGCAUUUGCCAAGGAUGUUUUCAUUAAUCAAGAACGAAAGUUAAGGGAUC